AUGCGGAUCCGCAGGUCCGCCUCCCGCCUGCUGGGCUCUACCGCCGCCUCCUCCUGCCCGAAGCCGGAGCCGCCCCGAUUCGAGCUCCCCCGAUUGGAGCCGCCCCCGCCCCCGCCCCCGCCGCCAGCCCCAGCCCACGAAUCCGGCGCCGGGUUCGUGGGGCCCAAGACCUCCUCCGGCGGGGAGCCCUGCUGCGAGCUCAGCCGGUCGCCAUGGGACCUCAUGGCGCAGCUCGACCUCUCGGAUCCCCAGGUGGAGAAGCUCUUCGUGGAGACUAGUUUCAUGAGUGUUUCCUGGCGAGGUUGCUGGCUUUUCCCAGCAGGCAUCACCAUGCCUGCCGGCUCCAUCAAGGAGGAGGAAGACUUGGCCGUAGAUAUGGUUGACGGGGUCAUCUUGAAACUGCACAAAGCUGCGGAAAAGAUGGAGAGCAUGAAGAAUCAGAGCAAGCAGAAGAAGAAUAAGGGGCUCAAAGUGAAGAAAGGAGUGUGGACGUGCAGGAAGAAUGACGGCAAGAGGUGGUGCUGUCGGCGGCCCGUGAGUGAGCCCAACUUGUACUGCUCGUACCACUCAGAUCAGAAGCUCCCUGCCGGCGACAAGCCACGUAGGAAGAGGCCAGACAUUGACCUGGGUGAGGGGUUCUACUACUAUGCAGGGUUCGGCCCGGGCACCAAGAGGCGCCGCACGUCAAGCAGCGACAGUGUGCCGGAACUUCCACUGCCUGCUGAGCCACUGAAAGAGGAGGCACCAGACAAAAUGCAACUUGAUUUUAGUGCAGGUCAGGUACAAGCAGCGAAUGAAACCGACCAUCAAGUGGUGCUCUUGCCAUCAGCAAACAUUGUCGACGAGCCUGGCACUGCUGGGAUGUCGGCGUGUGACAAGGAGAGCGGUGAUGAUGUCGUGCCGGAAUUUUCAGUGGCUGCUAAACCACCGAAAGAGGAGCCACAGCCUGAAAUGGAACUUAAUUUUAGUGCAGGUCAGGCACAAGCUGAUGAGACAGACCAUCAAGAGGCACGGACAUCAGCACGUGUGGUCGACAAGCCUACGGGAAACGACGGCACCACCGGGAUCGCAGGCUGGGACGAGGAGAGCAGCGAUGACGAAGCGCUUGGCUGCAAUGGCGAACAACCCCGCGACACCAAGAGGAAGGGCCCGUUCAAGAAGAGGUGGAGGAAGCCUGUGAAAGCCCGGUCGCUCAAGUCACUGAUGAUGUCGUAG
RNAcentral lists this ribosomal RNA (1215 nucleotides) under Triticum aestivum (bread wheat). RNAcentral's name for it is "partial small subunit ribosomal RNA". Lineage: Eukaryota; Viridiplantae; Streptophyta; Magnoliopsida; Poales; Poaceae. The record is from RNAcentral.